RNAcentral lists this ribosomal RNA (338 nucleotides) under uncultured bacterium. RNAcentral describes it as "bacterial SSU rRNA". It matches the Rfam family "Bacterial small subunit ribosomal RNA", at positions 28 to 366 of the family's 1533-position model. The record is from RNAcentral.
GACGAACGCUGGCGGCGUGCUUAACACAUGCAAGUCAAGGGGGCCCGGUAGCGAAUACUGGGCAACCGGCGAACGGGUGCGUAACACGUGAGCAACCCACCGAACUGUGGGGAUAGCCGGCCUAACGGCCGAGUAAUACCGCAUACGCUCUCAGUGAGGCAUUUCAUUGAGAGGAAACCUACGGGACAGAUCGAGGGGCUCGCGGCCUAUCAGCUAGUUGGCGAGGGUAACGGCUCACCAAGGCAACGACGGGUAGCUGGUCCUGAGAGGAUGGCCAGCCACAUUGGGACUGAGAUACGGCCCAGACUCCUACGGGAGGCAGCGAGUGGGGAAUCUUG